AGAAGGUCACACCCGUUCCCAUCCCGAACACGGUAGUUAAGCUUCUCUGCGCCAAUGGUAGUUGGGGGCUUCCCCCUGCGAGAGUAGGUCGCUGCCGGGC
RNAcentral lists this ribosomal RNA (100 nucleotides) under Listeria monocytogenes. The record is from RNAcentral. Lineage: Bacteria; Bacillati; Bacillota; Bacilli; Caryophanales; Listeriaceae.